Molecule: ribosomal RNA, 1550 nt
Filed under: metagenome
Description: bacterial LSU rRNA
Rfam family: Bacterial large subunit ribosomal RNA
Source: RNAcentral
GGAGGACCACCUCCUAAGGCUAAAUACUACUAAGUGACCGAUAGUGAACCAGUACCGUGAGGGAAAGGUGAAAAGUACCCUAAAAAGGGAGUGAAAUAGACCCUGAAACCGUAUAUCUACAAGCAGUCAAAGCACUAUGAUUUAUCAGUGCGAUGGCGUGCCUUUUGCAUAAUGAGCCUGCGAGUUACCCUCUGUAGCAAGGUUAAGCUGAUAAGUGUAGCCGAAGCGAAAGCGAGUCUGAAUAGGGCGUAUAGUUGCAGGGGGUAGACCCGAAACCGUGUGAUCUAUCCAUGGCCAGGUUGAAGCACGAGUAAGAUCGUGUGGAGGACCGAACCCACCGAUGUUGAAAAAUUGGGGGAUGAGCUGUGGAUAGGGGUGAAAGGCCAAUCAAACUCGGAAAUAGCUGGUUCUCUCCGAAAUAUAUUUAGGUAUAGCCUCACGUAUUGCCUUUGGAGGUAGAGCACUGAAUGGGUUAGGGGUCUCACCAGAUUACCGACCCCAAUCAAACUCCGAAUGCCAAAGAGUAUUAGCGUGGGAGUCAGUCAUUGGGAGAUAACUUCCUUUGACGAGAGGGAAACAACCCAGACCGCCAGCUAAGGUCCCUAAAUCUAUGCUCAGUGGGAAAGGAUGUGGGAGCGCAUUGACAACCAGGAGGUUGGCUUAGAAGCAGCCACCCUUUAAAGAAAGCGUAAUAGCUCACUGGUCCAGCGAACCUGCGCCGAAAAUGUAACGGGGCUAAGCAUAGUACCGAAGCUGCGGAUUCGAAAGAAUGGUAGGAGAGUAUUCCAACGGCGAUGAAGGUUCACCGAAAGGAGGGCUGGAGCUUUUGGAAGAGCUUAUGCAGGCAUGAGUAGCGAUAAAACGGGCGAGAAACCCGUUCGCCGUAAGCCUAAGGUUUCCUAGGCCAGGUUAAUCCUCCUAGGGUGAGUCGGACCCUAAGCCNAGGCCGAAAGGCGUAGGUGAUGGAAAACAGGCGAAUAUUCCUGUACCAACUCANNNANNNUGAAGCCAGAAGGGACGGAGAAGGAUAGAUCAGCCACACUUUGGUNAGUGGUUUAAGCCGGUAGGCUGUCGUUUUAGGAGGCNNAGGCCACAAACGGAACGACAAAGCCGAGAGGUGAUGAGGUGGACUANGUCCUNAACUGAUUAAUUCCAUGCUUCCAAGAAAANCUUCGGGUGGAGUNNNUGAGCUGACCGUACCGUAAACCAACACAGGUAGGCGGGGAGAGCAUCCCAAGGCGCUUGAGAGAACUCUGGUUAAGGAACUCGGCAAAUUAGCACCGUAACUUCGGGAGAAGGUGUGCCUCUACGUAUGUGAAAGAACUUGCUUCUGGAGCAGAAAGAGGUUGCAGUGAAAUGGCGGUAGCGACUGUUUACUAAAAACACAGGACUCUGCAAAGUCGAAAGACGAAGUAUAGGGUCUGACGCCUGCCCGGUGCCGGAAGGUUAAGAGGAGUGGUCAGCGUAUGCGAAGCCAUGAAUUGAAGCCCCGGUAAACGGCGGCCGUAACAAUAACGGUCCUAAGGUAGCGAAAUUCCUUGUCGGGUAAG